AAAAAGACAAACCCUGGUUUCCGUGUCCAACGUUUGACCGUCCGUCUUAUUUAAAAAAAUUAUAAAAAAAAAUUAAAAAGACAAGUCACGUAUAAAAUAUUAAUCAUGUUUUAUCAUCUAACAACAAUGAAAAUACGAAUUAUAAAAAAAUUUUAUAUAAGAUGGACAAUCAAAGUUAGACACGGAAACCAGAGUUUGUCUUUUUU
This 206-nucleotide microRNA precursor is filed under the name Oryza glumipatula. Its description in RNAcentral is "MIR812 microRNA precursor family". It matches the Rfam family "MIR812 microRNA precursor family". Lineage: Eukaryota; Viridiplantae; Streptophyta; Magnoliopsida; Poales; Poaceae. The record is from Rfam by way of RNAcentral.